UUCAACUUGGCAGAAAUAUGCGUUAAAUUUAGAAUUUAUUUAUGAAAAAAUAUUCAGUUGAAA
RNAcentral lists this transfer RNA (63 nucleotides) under Amblyomma americanum (Lone Star tick). Its description in RNAcentral is "tRNA-Leu". Lineage: Eukaryota; Metazoa; Arthropoda; Arachnida; Ixodida; Ixodidae. The record is from RNAcentral.